This 595-nucleotide ribosomal RNA is filed under the name uncultured bacterium. RNAcentral's name for it is "bacterial SSU rRNA". It matches the Rfam family "Bacterial small subunit ribosomal RNA", at positions 338 to 947 of the family's 1533-position model. The record is from RNAcentral.
CCUACGGGAGGCAGCAGUGGGGAAUCUUGCGCAAUGGGCGAAAGCCUGACGCAGCAACGCCGCGUGCGGGAUGAAGGCCUUCGGGUUGUAAACCGCUUUCAGCAGGGAAGAAAUUGACGGUACCUGCAGAAGAAGCCCCGGCCAACUACGUGCCAGCAGCCGCGGUAACACGUAGGGGGCGAGCGUUGUCCGGAUUUAUUGGGCGUAAAGAGCUCGUAGGCGGUUCGGUAAGUCGGGUGUGAAACCUCCAGGCUCAACCUGGAGACGCCACCUGAAACUGCUGUGACUAGAGUCCGGUAGGGGAGUGUGGAACUCCUGGUGUAGCGGUGAAAUGCGCAGAUAUCAGGAAGAACACCAGCGGCGAAGGCGGCACUCUGGGCCGGUACUGACGCUGAGGAGCGAAAGCGUGGGUAGCAAACAGGAUUAGAUACCCUGGUAGUCCACGCCGUAAACGUUGGGCACUAGGUGUGGGUCUCAACCAACGAGAUCCGUGCCGCAGCUAACGCAUUAAGUGCCCCGCCUGGGGAGUACGGCCGCAAGGCUAAAACUUAAGGAAUUGACGGCUGAGACGNGCGAGACGACGACGAGGGAGAGG